Schistosoma curassoni is the source of this 46-nucleotide non-coding RNA. The record is from Rfam. Lineage: Eukaryota; Metazoa; Platyhelminthes; Trematoda; Strigeidida; Schistosomatidae.
CUACUUCUGAGGAGUCUAAUACUAGGACGAAACGGCUGUCCAGUAC